Chinchilla lanigera (long-tailed chinchilla) is the source of this 779-nucleotide long non-coding RNA. RefSeq lists it as uncharacterized. The record is from RefSeq and is a predicted model, not a curated record. Lineage: Eukaryota; Metazoa; Chordata; Mammalia; Rodentia; Chinchillidae. The transcript is spliced from 3 exons.
UGCCCUAGGAAAAGGGACUCCGCCGGAACUUCUCCAGCUCAGCAGUUCCCCAUUGGACACCCACAGCCUGCCUCGCUGGAUUAGAAGCAGCAGAAAAAGGAGGCCAAAAUGUAGACGUGCUGAUAGAUGCCCAUCAGCGGGCCCCCGGGAGGGCCUGAUCUUUUAUCCUUUCCAACUCUUUCCUGGAGACGCCCGCUGAGGCGCUGUGACUCAGACGCACCAGCAUUCCGAACAGCCAGGGCAGCAGCUCAAAGGCUGGCAGAGACCUGCGGCAGCCGAGGCAGGGAAGGACUGUGCCUCUGACCCGCUGGCAGGUGACUCAGUUGCAGCUCUCACUGGUGCCUUGGAACCCACGAAGGGGCUGUGAUGCACCCACCUGGACCCAGCCAGGGCCACCAGCUGUCAACAUGGCUACCUUCCAUCAAUCCUCACACAGCAGCACCACGGAACUGCCAGGACCUAUCGCCAGCCCCAAGGAGCAACUCUGCUUACCACUCUGGGCCACACACUGUUUUCUUGAAUAUGGAGCCCACCACAUUCCUCCCAGACCUCCCAGUACAACCAGGGCCCAAUACAUGGCCACCGCAAGCGUGUUCCCCUCACUUUGGGAACAUACUUCCCUCUGACCAGAUCCCCAGAUUAGAAAGUCAGAACUCUUUCAGAUUGUUUCCCCCAGCUUCAGCUUCAUGUCCCCACAGUCUUCACAGACCCUGUAGGAAGAGCCACUCUUGUUCCUCUUCCUGUUCGUCUUGAUCCUCUGAGUAGGAACUAAAGGAGCA